AUGGGCUAUCGUCUAAUGGCAGGACAACAAACUCUGGAUUUGUGAAUAUAGGUUCGACCCCUAUUAGCCCAUCCAC
RNAcentral lists this transfer RNA (76 nucleotides) under Campylobacter gracilis RM3268. Its description in RNAcentral is "tRNA-Gln". It matches the Rfam family "tRNA". Rfam says of the family: Transfer RNA (tRNA) molecules are approximately 80 nucleotides in length. Their secondary structure includes four short double-helical elements and three loops (D, anti-codon, and T loops). Further hydrogen bonds mediate the characteristic L-shaped molecular structure. tRNAs have two regions of fundamental functional importance: the anti-codon, which is responsible for specific mRNA codon recognition, and the 3' end, to which the tRNAs corresponding amino acid is attached (by aminoacyl-tRNA synthetases). tRNAs cope with the degeneracy of the genetic code in two manners: having more than one tRNA (with a specific anti-codon) for a particular amino acid; and 'wobble' base-pairing, i.e. permitting non-standard base-pairing at the 3rd anti-codon position. Lineage: Bacteria; Pseudomonadati; Campylobacterota; Epsilonproteobacteria; Campylobacterales; Campylobacteraceae. The record is from RNAcentral.